Non-coding RNA from Pelobates cultripes (western spadefoot toad), 596 nucleotides. The record is from the annotation of a GenBank genome assembly. NCBI's taxonomy places the organism in Eukaryota, Metazoa, Chordata, Amphibia, Anura, Pelobatidae.
AAAUUAUUAAAAUAGAUAACACUAGGAAUGCAUGCCUGAAUUCCUAAUAUUAGAUAAGUCCAAAACAGCUUAACAGUUUAAAAACAAAACACUGCCUCCCUGUCCACUCUCACUAGGCAGAAAAUGUAUUUGCCCGUAAGCAAAUGCCAUAACGAAUCUUUUUACUUGGCUCUUGACUUCUAGGGAAAUUCCUGCUCUAAUAUUCCAGGUUCUAUUUUCAAAAUUACCUGCUGCAGACCUUGACAUCUCAACCUGUUGCAGCUACAUAGUACAUUUAGCUUUUACAGUGGCUUACAUUAACUACAUUAGUUGGUUCCAAGGAAUAGUGCUAGUCUGUGGUGGGUUUUUUGCAACCUAACUACUAAGCCCUUAGAGGUGGCUACUAGAUAACUCCAAAAGCCAGAAAAAUAAUUUUAAGAGGAAACUACAGGCAUCAAAACAAUUUUAGCUUAAAGAAGCAGCUUAGGUGUAAAGAUCAUGCCCCUGCAGUCUCACUCCUCUACCAUUUAGGAAUAAAAUUAUGUUUAUGCAGCCCUAGUCACACCUCCCUACAUUUGACUUACACAGCCUUCCUAAACACUUCCUAUAAACACUCA